Molecule: ribosomal RNA, 1299 nt
Filed under: Escherichia coli
Lineage: Bacteria; Pseudomonadati; Pseudomonadota; Gammaproteobacteria; Enterobacterales; Enterobacteriaceae
Description: partial 23S ribosomal RNA
Rfam family: Bacterial large subunit ribosomal RNA
Source: RNAcentral
GGGUUGUGAGGUUAAGCGACUAAGCGUACACGGUGGAUGCCCUGGCAGUCAGAGGCGAUGAAGGACGUGCUAAUCUGCGAUAAGCGUCGGUGAGGUGAUAUGAACCGUUAUAACCGGCGAUUUCCGAAUGGGGAAACCCAGUGUGUUUCGACACACUAUCAUUAACUGAAUCCAUAGGUUAAUGAGGCGAACCGGGGGAACUGAAACAUCUAAGUACCCCGAGGAAAAGAAAUCAACCGAGAUUCCCCCAGUAGCGGCGAGCGAACGGGGAGGAGCCCAGAGCCUGAAUCAGUGUGUGUGUUAGUGGAAGCGUCUGGAAAGGCGUGCGAUACAGGGUGACAGCCCCGUACACAAAAAUGCACAUAUUGUGAGCUCGAUGAGUAGGGCGGGACACGUGGUAUCCUGUCUGAAUAUGGGGGGACCAUCCUCCAAGGCUAAAUACUCCUGACUGACCGAUAGUGAACCAGUACCGUGAGGGAAAGGCGAAAAGAACCCCGGCGAGGGGAGUGAAAAAGAACCUGAAACCGUGUACGUACAAGCAGUGGGAGCCUCUUAAUGGGGUGACUGCGUACCUUUUGUAUAAUGGGUCAGCGACUUAUAUUCUGUAGCAAGGUUAACCGAAUAGGGGAGCCGAAGGGAAACCGAGUCUUAACUGGGCGUUAAGUUGCAGGGUAUAGACCCGAAACCCGGUGAUCUAGCCAUGGGCAGGUUGAAGGUUGGGUAACACUAACUGGAGGACCGAACCGACUAAUGUUGAAAAAUUAGCGGAUGACUUGUGGCUGGGGGUGAAAGGCCAAUCAAACCGGGAGAUAGCUGGUUCUCCCCGAAAGCUAUUUAGGUAGCGCCUCGUGAAUUCAUCUCCGGGGGUAGAGCACUGUUUCGGCAAGGGGGUCAUCCCGACUUACCAACCCGAUGCAAACUGCGAAUACCGGAGAAUGUUAUCACGGGAGACACACGGCGGGUGCUAACGUCCGUCGUGAAGAGGGAAACAACCCAGACCGCCAGCUAAGGUCCCAAAGUCAUGGUUAAGUGGGAAACGAUGUGGGAAGGCCCAGACAGCCAGGAUGUUGGCUUAGAAGCAGCCAUCAUUUAAAGAAAGCGUAAUAGCUCACUGGUCGAGUCGGCCUGCGCGGAAGAUGUAACGGGGCUAAACCAUGCACCGAAGCUGCGGCAGCGACACUAUGUGUUGUUGGGUAGGGGAGCGUUCUGUAAGCCUGUGAAGGUGGCCUGUGAGGGUUGCUGGAGGUAUCAGAAGUGCGAAUGCUGACAUAAGUAACGAUAAAGCGGGUGAAAAGCCCG